UGGGGAAUCUUGCGCAAUGGGCGAAAGCCUGACGCAGCAACGCCGCGUGAGGGACGAAGGCUUUCUGAGUUGUAAACCUCUUUCAGCAGGGACGAUUGUGACGGUACCUGCAGAAGAAGCACCGGCCAACUACGUGCCAGCAGCCGCGGUGAUACGUAGGGUGCAAGCGUUGUCCGGAUUUAUUGGGCGUAAAGAGCUCGUAGGCGGUUUGAUAAGUCGGAUGUGAAAUCCCCAGGCUUAACCUGGGGUCGCCAUUCGAUACUGUCAUGACUUGAGUCCGGUAGGGGACCACGGAAUUCCUGGUGUAGCGGUGAAAUGCGUAGAUAUCAGGAGGAACACCAGCGGCGAAGGCGGUGGUCUGGGCCGGCACUGACGCUGAGGAGCGAAAGCGUGGGGAGCGAACAGGAUUAGAUACCCUGGUAGUCCACGCCGUAAACGUUGGGCACUAGGUGUGGGGCCUAUUCAACGGGUUCCGUGCCGCAGCUAACGCAUUAAGUGCCCCGCCUGGGGAGUACGGCCGCAAGGCUA
This 528-nucleotide ribosomal RNA is filed under the name uncultured bacterium. Its description in RNAcentral is "bacterial SSU rRNA". It matches the Rfam family "Bacterial small subunit ribosomal RNA", at positions 355 to 896 of the family's 1533-position model. The record is from RNAcentral.